CUCAUUUGCACUGGCUGCAUUAAAGCGUCAACUGUCACUCUUCUCCCAGCUGGAUCCAAUGAAGACAGAAAGUGCAGAUUCGAGGAUGCCAGAGCCCCCUCCACAAGACCCUGGUAUUCCCGAAGGCCUCAAAACAAGCCCCCUAAACACAGAGGCUCUCGGGGAGUUUGCCCAAAACAUGUCAGAGCACAUACUUCGAUCAGUUUUUAGCCAAAAGGAAACAGUAGAACCUGAGGAGUCCAUUUAUAACCAAGAGCACGAAAUGCUAGCUGAGGCGCUAGCAUCCGCAGUGAUUGAGAUCGCUCUGAGUGAAGUGUGUAGAGGAAGAAACUUAAAGGACCACAUGGAGGGUGCUGAAAUAGAGAUGGAGAACAACAAGGGUGAACACCAGUGUUUUGAGGAUAAAUCUAGAAGAGACCAAGAACACCAGACUUCUACCCAGCCUUGCCAUCCACCUCUAUCCCAGUCAGGGCUUCCCGCUGUGGGAUCCCUCGACUACCCCGACGCCCCACCGACCACGCCUCUUCUCCCAGAGCUGGAGAGGAGCAGAAGCAGCUUCGCCCGUAAGCUAAAAGGAGGCCUGGCAAAGGUUUUCCUACCCUCGCCUCCUCCACCAACGCCAAAGGACAAGGAGGACAACGGAGACGCUUUGAUCAGCGACCCUCAUGUGGAACUGAUGGAGCAUCUCAUGCAGUCGCUGUCUACAGAUGAUUUGGGGAGAGGCAAUUUCGAAGUAGCACCUCUGCAUGAACCAACUAUAGAGACUUUUGCACAGGCUCUGUCAUGUGAUAUUACUAAGUGGGUUCUGGCUGCCAAAAAAAGAGAACAGAUGUCACAUGACAGUGAUCUCAACCUACUGGCCCAACAGCUGGCUGAAACCAUUAUCACGUCCUCCAUUGAUGAAGCUAAAGUGCUUAUCUAGGAUUUAAAGUGAUUCAUGGAGUCAGGUAUGAUGAAUAGCCUAUAUAUAUGCACACACAAGCUCAGUCCAUGGACUAUAUAUAUACAUAAAAGGUGGACAUAGCCACCAUAACACAAUCAGUUUAAUUGUCUUUUGUAGCUAUCUUAGUGUUUUUAAGUCAGACACGAAAAGUGAACCACUUAUUGGUUAACAGCUUAUGAGUAACAAGUCAUUAACCAAUUAGCAUUUCCUGGUUUAUCCACCUUUCUGACUCAAAUAAUGAUGACAGAUUUACAAAGGAAUUUCAUACUCUGUACACUAUGAUGUAAAACUAGCAACUGAGCCUCAAAAAGUUACCAGGUAUUCAGUGACAUCAGAGAGUAUGGAAGUACAUCUAUAAUAGCAGAAGGCUUUUUAGAAACCUGAGUAAUCGCCCCCUGUUCGGCAUCAGAAAGAAUGCAGGUAAAAGCAAGAUAGAUAGACUAUCUCUAGCAUAUACUUCUGUCCUACUCCACAUACUCCUUCGCUACACGAUGACAUGACAAAACAUUCUGUUCUGCAGCACAGGGAGAGAAGAUGCCUGCCACUUUGAGUUCUCUAAGCCACUAAAACACUGUGGAUUGUGGACUAUCUUUAGAGUUGGUCUAUAUAUACCCUUUCUGUGCAGCUUUUGACUACAAUCCUCAGCAAGUCCAUAGUCCUACCCAUUACCAAGCCAGUACUUCUCUGUUGGUCACUCUGUAGACUUAGAAGCUAAAUCUAUCAUUUAUAUAUAGUCUGUGGGGUCUGUUACUGUUAUUUCCUCUAAAGUAGGCAAUACACAUUAUCUUACUCCAAGAUUUGGGAAUUUCAUUUGUUACAGGAGUUAAUAUGAUUCAUUUGCAUUUGAUUGUAAUAUUAUAUUAAUGCUAUUUAUUAAUGAUAACAUAUUAUUAUGAGUUCAACUGUGUAUUCGUUUGUGUUUCUUGUUCAGAAAUGAACUUGUCAUUGAGGUUAAGUGGCAUUUCUGCAUCCUGAAAACUGCUGGAUGAUAAGUAACUGUUACAUUUCAUGAUGGAUUAAAGUACACUGGAUCUGACUUUUAUUUCUUUCUUACAAAACAAUACUUGGCUCCAAAAGCAAUAACCACAUUUGUCCUUUGGAUGGCAGCACAGUAAAGAAAUUUCAGCAUUUUUCAGCAUGAGCUCAGCAGUGCUGACCUACUUGGGACAUGACAACAACUGGAAUUAAUUUUGUUUUCCAUUUAGGAAAUCAUUUACUUUUAAAUGGUGGUCACCUGUCAGUAAAAUUGUUUUGUUUUGUUUGAUUUUGCUUCUAUGGUCAGGUCCUGCCAAAAGGGAAAGCCCUGCUAAAUAUAAUGCAGAGUACAACGACUUGCAGACUGCUAUAUCUGUAACAGAAGAUGAAACUGGACAGCAGAUGUUCUGUAGAUGAACUUGUAUCACACUGGAUUAUAAUCAGACAUAACAUUGGCAAAUUGUUUGGUUAGUUUUCUUUGUAAUCACCCUCAAAAUCUUUAUGUAUCCAGCAUGACUCAUUCAGCCCGUUCACUGAGCAACGAUACUGGCAUUUUGGACAAAUUUGUGUUCUGGCUCAAAGAAAGCUCGUUUUCAUACUCACUUCGUCCUUGAUGUCAGACCUUGGAAGAACAAAAAGAAAAAAGAAAAAAAAACGGGGCGCCACAGGUCUUAACCAAACACUGAUGCGAUCCUGGAAUCGAAUAAAAACUCUGUUUUCUUUUUAAAUCAGUAACUACUUAAACACAGUUGGAGAUUGACAAAUUUACUGCAAGAAAAUCUUUGCUGAACUUUUAAAGUGCUGUUUUGAAUAAAGAGUCUCAUUGUUCCUCUUAGUCACCGCUGUUUGAGUUCACACACUUUUUUGGUUCAAGAAACUAGGUAAGUGGGACACACAAACAGACUCAGACCCCCUUCCGCCCUCCCUUUUAUUUUGCACAAACACAAAACACACACACAAAAGCCCCACCAUACAAUAAACAACCCAAACAUGUGCAGAUGAUAUGAAGCAUAUUUCUCUCUUUCCACUAAAAAAACCCCAAUUAGGUCUGUAUGUUAAUACUUACAGACUUGUCUGGAUGAGGUAUAAACAUAUUAACAAAGAGUUCGAGCACAAAUUACUAACAUACAGCAGACAUAAGACUUAGUGCUUUUAUCAUUUUCAGUCAACACUAGUAAGAAGGCAGUCAGUCGCUUCUGUGACGAUGGAAAUAUUUGAAAACCAGUACGUCUUCAUUCCUGGCAAGUCAUAGUCUGCUCUUAUUUUCAAAUACAAUGCCCUCUCUCAGACAUGCACGAGGUGUCCUUUUUCCAUCAGUGCCAUGUUGUCUCAACAGGGAGAGAGGUCUCCC
Molecule: long non-coding RNA, 3269 nt
Organism: Astatotilapia calliptera (eastern happy)
Lineage: Eukaryota; Metazoa; Chordata; Actinopteri; Cichliformes; Cichlidae
Source: Ensembl